AUUGUUUGCUUUUACUGUUUCCUAACGUUUUAUUUUUUUACUCGAAGGAAUUAAAUUCAAAAUAAGUUACACUAAAUUUAGAUCUUCACAUAGUUUAGUUACCUCGACCUGUGUGAUUAAUUUAAUAAAUUUAGCAUUUCUUUGUCGCUGAGCGUUAAAUUUUAUUUUUCCAGUUACCCUAAAUAAAAUUUUGUUUUAUAAUAAUAAACACGGUGAUAGUGCGCUGUCGCGACAUAUAACGUAGUUCAAAUGAUAAUUGCCGGUUCAGUAUCGAUGAGAGAACUUGGUGUGUGCGCGCGGACUCGGUGGGAUGAUGUUGUUAUUCGGCGCCUUGGCGAUCGGGAUGAUCACGGGGCUGAACGUCACCACCGAGGUGCCGCCGAGCACUGAACUCGCGGAGCCUAGCACAACGGAGACGGGGGAGAUGGGCCUGCUGGAGACGACGCGGCUGUCGGGCCCCACGAGCGACCUGGUGAACGUGACCGCGCACGAGCGGCCCUCGAUGUGGGACUUGUACUUGCACCACUGCCCCAAGUGGCGGCCGAUGAACCACGUGUUCUUCCAAGUGGCGAACGUGUUGUUCCUGCUUUCGUUCCUGGCGCCGCACACGCCGAGCGGGCUGCUGUGGCUGCGUGUGGCCCUGAUGCUGGCGUGCGCCUUCUCCGGCAUGUGGGCGUGGAGCGUCGAGUGCUACCUGGACGCCGUGCUGUGGAACAGUGCUUUCAUACUGAUCAACUUUGUAUAUUUCUCAGUGCAGUUCUAUCUCAUGAGACCUAUUAAGUUCCACAAGGAUAUUGAGGAGGUAUACAUAGCAUUAUUCAAGCCGCUGCGCGUCUCCCGCCGUCAGUUCCGACGCGUGCUGAUGUGCAUGCGCAACGUGCGCCAUCUCAAGUGCCACGAGCUUUACGCGCACGAGAAGGUCACCAAAGUGGACAGCCUCUCUCUCGUGCUGUCCGGCAAGUUGGUGGUUUCGCAAAACCAGCGGGCGCUGCACAUUGUGUUCCCGCAUCACUUCCUCGACUCGCCGGAGUGGUUCGGCGUGUCGACGGAUGAGUUCUUCCAGGUAUCCAUAAUGGCGAUGGAAGAGUCUCGGGUGCUGGUGUGGCACCGCGACAAGCUAAAGCUGUCGAUCAUGUCCGACGGCUUCCUGCAAGCCGUAUUCGACCACAUAUUAGGCAGAGACGUCGUUCACAAACUUAUGCAGGUGAGCGAAACGAUGGCAGUGAGCAACGGCCACUUGCCGAACAGCUACGAGGAGGGCGAGGACAAGCCCAUGCUGGUGGUGAAGAAGUCGGGAGACGGGCCCGGCAUCACCGCGCUGCUCAACCGGCAGCUGCAAGGCGAGCACGCGCCGCUGCUGCGCGCCGCGCCUGCGCACCACUGAGGACGGCGACACCCUCAUCUCCUCAUAUCCGCAUCUCCGCAUCUCCCAUCUCCUCAUGCCAGCCUUCUCCUUGCCCAAGAGGCAUUUUGCAGUUCCAUAUAUAAAGUUUAAAAAAAUUACGGAAUUAUUAACGAACACAAUCGAAUCAAAUUCCAUCUCAGUUCCGUUAAGCUGGGUCUGUAGUUUAGCUGGGUUGGGAUGUGAAUAUUGUCCAAUUAUAUCGGUAAUUGUGUUUCGUGUUCCCUUUUCGCUUUAGUGGGCAGCUAUGCCUAGUGCUGCUAGAACAAAAUAUGUAUCGAUUAUAUCGUAUAAUCGAUAUUUAUUUUGUACCGUAUCGAUUAUAAGUUUAAGUUUGACAUUGCCUUUUGGCAUUAGCUUUAAUUUUAAAUUAAUUACUAACAAAAAAUCUUUUUGAAUUUUGGCAAUUUUUUAUUAUCUUUUAUUGACUAACAAGUCCAUAAUGUAAUAAGGUGGACAUACUAAUAAAUUUAAGAUAAGAUCAAGCUAUCAAUAGCUAGUAAGUGACGCGUCCGUCCAUGACCAAAAUGUCAAUUUAUAUUUAUAAGUUUUAUUUCCAUGAACUGCAAAAUGACCCAAUUUCCAAGUUUAUCAUCGCAUAUUAUGCAGUGGUUUGAUGAAACUGGUAUAAUACACACGUUAUUAGCAAUAAAUAAUGUCACAGUUCCACUGCAAGCUACUACUAGCUAUAUAAAACUAACCAAUUUCAUCAAACUAAACUUUUGCCCAAAUUCCAACAAAUUAUCCGUAUAUGUUUCGUUUUUCACACAUUCAAAGCAUAUGCAGCAAAUAUCUUUAAAAUAAAACUAUCACGCGUACAUACAUACAUAUUUCAUAUCAGUAUUCACUAUUUAUUCGCACAUUUCCAUAAUAUAAUUAUAUAUUUUUGCAUGCAAUAUAAUAUAUAUAACGCUAUCAUAUUUUCAUAUGGUACAUAUAUUAGUAUAUUUUGGCAUGUUUUAUCUAGUAUUAAUUGAACUAGUCUAUGUAGUGCUAUCUUUUUAACUUAGACACAGUUUGAACUAGGUAUAUAUGAGCCAAGAUUAAUAAUAGUUGCGAAGAAAAGUUUAAAUUUAAAUGUUCAAUUUAUAGAUAUUUAUUAAAUUAAACAAGAUAUUAAAAUCUUGUAGAGUGCAUUUUCAAGUCUUACUAAAAAUAAUCCAGUAAGAGUAUUUCUACAUUUACUAUCCGCAAUCUAUUAAAACAAAUAUAAACUUAAUUCUGUGUACCAAAAAAAAAUAGUGAUCGGCCUUUUUAACCUGUAUUUAUAAAUAUUUUCUUUACUGCAUUUUUUAUGAGCUUGCAUUUAUAGUCUAUUGUGAUUAUUAUUUUAUUUAAAAAAUAUCUUCAAUAUCGCUUAGAUACAUCUUUUCAGUGUUACCUCAACCUUAUUAAUCUUGGCUGCAAUAACAAUUUGUGCUUUAAUCGAAUAGUUGUUACCUCUACCAUAUAAGUAUUAGUAAUAUAGCUUUAUAAUGACGAUCCCCGAGAUCCCAUCCUUGUGUCCGAUCCCAUAGCAUGUUCGGAAGAUCGACAAUUGAAGCAACAGACCCGAACGCGUGGCGUCUAGGGCGGAUAGAGGAAGCGGACCACGAGACGCCCGUGUGAGGGCGCGCGCUGCACGUGGCGGUCCGACCUCCGCAUCCGCCACGUCCGCCGCAUCCGCCACAUCCGCCACACCCUUCGUAUCCGCAAUAUCCGCCGCGUGGUAAACGCCCGCGACGCUAGUGCAUCACACCCAAGCGGAGGACCGCGAUAAAUUCGAACUCUACAUGUGGAAUUAGACUAGAGAUACAUAACAUGUGGAAAAUCCACAUUAAAAAAUUCCGCAAGCCUCAUGAGCAAUAGAGUAUAUGAAGUAGCUCAAGAGCAACACAAAAUGCAAAAAUCGCAUAGUUAGUGGUACAUGGCGUGAAGAAAACAAAGCGGAAUAACGCAUGCGAUGCGGAUACGCAUGCGAACUGGAACACGAGCGGCCGGACUGUACGUGUUGUGACUGAAGUGUUGUGUUUGUGUAGGUUGUUGGUGCGAAGUGGUUGGAAUUAUGGUUUUAGAAUACGUCGAGGUGCGUGUCCAUACGAUUUGACUGAAGUUUUGAUAUUGAUCUCUUACGUGCAACUAAUGGAUGGGUUUAUGGACAGUGCGUUUUAUUAUUGCAAAUAUAUUUACAUUUUAAACGGUAAAACGUCGCUUUAGUCGUAUGGACAUGACUGGAGGGCAAUUUAUUUUACACGAAAAGAUUUUUUUAUAUUAACGUAUUCUUUUGAAGGACGCCAGAAAUGUAAUAAGCGGUAAUUAAAUUCUUAAAAUUAUUAUAAUUUUGCAUGGAGAUAGAUGCCAAUUUGUUAUUGUAUUAUCAUCUUUGUGUAACAAUAAAUGUGGAUCUGAUUUAAUUGUGAAACUUGGAAGCAUUAUUUUGUGUACACUGUAGAUAAAAAUAAUUAUAUAAAUGAAAAAGCAAUUAUUCAAAUUCAGUUACGAAUGUUUUGCGUUAAUUAUUUUUAUUUUUUCUAUUAAUCAUUGAGGUAAUGAACGUAAAAGUUAAAUCAGAGUUUUAAAUCUCCCAACGAAAUUGUAUUUAUUUUUAUAAAGAAAUGAAGUGCCCCUGCUUAUAUGUCAAUAAAUAUGUACUUAAAUUAACAAUUUGGCUUUAAAAGCAAUUUAGGAGACAUCGGGGUUUCAUAAUCUAUUGAGUUCACGACAUAUCGGAAAAAAUAUUUGGGAAAAAAAUGUAUUAAUUAUUAUAAUGUAAAUAUGCGAUUGAUAUUAUGGAGGGAAAAUAUAAAUUGUGUACAAAACGAUUUCUAUUUACUUCAACUGCCUUCUUGACAUGUGCUAAUAAACAAUACGAAUUGAGAGUUACCUGUUACCUACAGACUUUUAAUAUGAGUAAUUUCUUUCUGUUUUUGUAAGCGUUCUGUCUGAAUGUUUAUUCAACCUUUGUUCGAAUUUCGACGAAUUCAUUGAUCAGUUUCUUUAUAUUUCUUUCAUUUAACGAAUACUAUAUUAACAUAUUAUAAAUAGCGAUUAUCAUGAUUUUGAAACAAAUUAUUGUAUAUUUGCAACAGUGUUUGAUGGCUGAAAUUUAUGGACUAUUUUUUGAUAAAUAUAAAAAUUGUAAAUUACAUUACAUAAGACAUUCCAACACAUUGUAAUGUGUUAUUGGCCGUGUCAUAACAAGAUAACCUUCAGUUUUAUUUAUUUUUAUAUUGUUUAUAGUUACUGCAACUCAUUUUUGUUUACUGAUAUUGGAGGUCGUUUCAUAAGAAAUAAAAGACAUUUAAUACAAAUAACCGAUAGUUACAGUUGUUCUGACUAAGAUAUUAGAGUUAUGUCCGAAGUAUCGCAAACUACUCACAAUAUUCAACAGCCUUAACACCGCUCCUGAAACCAUACAGGUCCUAUUAAACCAAUUGCCGACGAAUAUAUAUUUUAUACCGUAUUUCGAGGCAAUACGGUUCGUGAUCGCUAUAUAGUGGGCACUGAGAGUUGAGGACAUCAUGGGCCAUUUCUCAAAGUGGUUGUUGCAAAUAUACGAAAGUGAUUUUGUAUUAUUACUCAUAUAUCUUCUACAAUGUGGAAACUAAUUUUGUGUCUAUUUCUAUAAUAUCUAUGACUUUAUAAUUAUAAAAUUCCCUUCAUUAUUUUCAUUUGAAACUCACAUAAUAUUUAAAACCAACAUAAAAUUGUACCUGAACCUAAUUUGUAUCGCAUUGUCGCCGUGACAAUAUCCAAGUACAUUUAGUAUAGUCUUCUAGCAAUACACCCUGCACGUCACAAAUUGAAGCAAUAAUUAAAGUUACCAUAGACAAAAUGAUUAUUUUAUAUAUUCGUUUUUAAUCGAUAUGUCGAUAAAAGAGGUCUUAGUGCUGUCGAUGAAAAAAACAUCUUCAGUAACUUUAGAUAUACCAAUAGUAACAAAUUUAAUAUAAAUAGAUUGUAAAGGAUACAAAAUGGCUGACUUAAUUGAAUUUUGAAUUGAUUGGUGUAGAAAGUAUUGUAUGUCUAAAGGUUGACUAGUGUUAGAGAGAGUUGGUUUUGGUAUAAGAAAGUAAUUAGCAAUGCAUACCAGCCUACCACGGCCUUUAAAUAUACCUCUAAGUGUGCAAAGAACUUUACACAAUGUUCUCAACAAAUACGAUCAUUUGGUUCUUAGAACUACAUCCUUAGUUCAUAAAAAGCUAGAUUUCUAUUGUCAAAGUCUGGAUUUAAAUGUAACUAGGAAUAUAAUAAUUUUGAUAUAGAUUAAACGCACAUGAAACUAUUUACACACGAUGGCUAUGUAUGUUUGUACGAAAUGGUAGGAUAUAUUUAUUAUUUUAAGUAUUUUUUCCCGUUUUAUUGCCUACCUUAAUUUUCACUGAGGUUGCCAGUUAUUUAAAAGUCCCUAUAUUUUUUGCUGUUACACAGUAAUCGUAAGCUAAUUGAUUUUCUUUUAUCAGAGAUCCUAUCCACUUAAAAAUAACGUACUCUUCAAUGUGUGGACGGUUUAAAAUAAUUAUUUAUUGAUUUUUUAUAGUUUCAGAUUUGUGAGUGACUGUUUACCUAUAUAGCUUAAGAUUUUUUUAUUGAAAGCUUACCAUCCCCUGAUACCUAUUUCUAUAUUAUAUGGUGCUACACCUGAAUUGUUUUGUUCAUUUGAUGUCUGACUCUUAUACUCAAAUCCUUUUAACUCUUUCUGACUACAGUCAUACCUAAUGGGUUGAAAAAAAUUACUCUACCAUAGAUUAAGUCAAAAAGAGUUAAAGCCUAAAUUUGGAUUUUGUAAUGCCUUUAAACGUAGUGUUGUGUGGAUUACCUGAACUUUGUUUUACCAAGUUAUGUUACUAUGAAGAUUCCAUGCUGAAGGAUUGAGUUCUAUGGGUAAUUUUAUACAUCACUAUACUUUUAAUUACUGAAAAAGACUUCAAACUGAUAGAUGAAGAUUUAAAUAAUAUUUGGAAUAUAUUUUUGUUCGCAUUGAAUGUGGAGUGUAUAAUUUAUGUAUGUUACUUAUUAAUCAAUAGUCAAUCACAAGUAAAUUAAAAAUAUUUAACAAGUAUAUAAAUAAAUAAAGGACCUAACUAUCUUAUUGAUAAUAAUUGAAGACACAGACUAUCGAUUAUUAAGUAACACCUACAUUGCAAUAUGUAAAAAAUGUAUAUUUUCGUCUAGAAUGUGUAAACUAAAUUGAUGUAGAAACAUUCCAAAAAUUAAUUUCCAUUUUGUUGUUUGGAUGAGAGAAAAAAAUAAUUUUAAGCGAAAUAUAUUAGAAAAUUGCACUGCCAAUGCAAACAAUGCAUAAAAAUGUAUAUUUGUGUGUUUGUCACAGCAUUAUGAUUUAAAGAUCUGAUUUUUUUAAAAGGCCUACAACAAUUUCAGUUUUCUUGAUUUUACGAUAUAUUUCAGUGACAGUAUAAACCUCGCGACGAUCCAAUUCUAUUGUCGACGAUUGUUUAGAAUUGUAAAUGUUAUUAUACCCAAACUGUUUAAGACAAUGUCUGAGUAAUGCAGUUCGUGCUUUCCCGUUGCCGCGAGGUUUACAAAACAAUAAAUGUGGAAAUACAUAGCGACACUCGAUUCGAAGCGAUGUUUUGUUUAUUUUUUUACCGAAAUAGCCGUUACAGUUACGAAAGAUGAAUGGAAUCACACAAAAAGCGUUACGUAGUAAGCUAAAGCCACUUGAAAUUUACGCAAGUCUUUUCAUUAUUCUAUAAUUCGUUUCGAAGUACACAAAAUAAACAAUUACUGGAACAAUAUUUGUAAUCACUUAAAUAGAAAAGAAAACAGUUGUGCUAUUCAGCUGUUUAAACAAGUUCGUAAUUGUAAGCAACCUUUGUAUAGGGUUGUCAGGCCUAUAGAAAUGAAACUAGGUUACAAGCCAGUAUUUAAGAUAUUUUUAUACUCUUAAGCUGUAGUUAUGACCUGACAGUGGAAAUUGGCUGAAACAUAAUUCAAAAACCUAACUUUAUUAUAUUGUAUGCCUGGCAGCCCUAGGCAUGUCGCUAUGUAUCUCCAGGGUACAUAAUCAAGACAAAUGCGAUUGUUGGGACAUGACUUGCCUUGUAUGUUGUGUAAAGCACCUGAUGCGUGUCAGUAUGCCUUAACAAAUUGCCAUUUGUGAUGUAUGUAAAUUAUGAAUGUGUCGUACUACAUAUUUGAAUCAUAGUACAUGUUGAGACAAAUAGAUAUUAAACAAAGAAAUAAACAGAUUGUGUAUAAAAGAGAA
RNAcentral lists this unclassified non-coding RNA (7610 nucleotides) under Manduca sexta (tobacco hornworm). RNAcentral describes it as "blood vessel epicardial substance, transcript variant X2". The record is from RNAcentral. Lineage: Eukaryota; Metazoa; Arthropoda; Insecta; Lepidoptera; Sphingidae.